UACGAAGGGGGCUAGCGUUGUUCGGAUUUACUGGGCGUAAAGCGCGCGUAGGCGGGUCGUUAAGUCAGGGGUGAAAUCCCGGAGCUCAACUCCGGAACUGCCUUUGAUACUGGCGACCUUGAGGCUGGAAGAGGUUAGUGGAAUUCCCAGUGUAGAGGUGAAAUUCGUAGAUAUUGGGAAGAACACCAGUGGCGAAGGCGGCUAACUGGUCCAGAUCUGACGCUGAGGUGCGAAAGCGUGGGGAGCAAACAGG
RNAcentral lists this ribosomal RNA (253 nucleotides) under uncultured bacterium. RNAcentral describes it as "partial 16S ribosomal RNA". It matches the Rfam family "Bacterial small subunit ribosomal RNA", at positions 524 to 776 of the family's 1533-position model. The record is from RNAcentral.